GUGAAAUGACUUGGGAGGUGUAGAAUAAGUGGGAGGCUCUGCCGUCUGUGAAAUACCACUACUCUCAAUGUUGUUUUAC
Molecule: ribosomal RNA, 79 nt
Organism: Phytophthora infestans T30-4
Lineage: Eukaryota; Oomycota; Peronosporomycetes; Peronosporales; Peronosporaceae
Rfam family: Eukaryotic large subunit ribosomal RNA
Source: Rfam